This is a small nuclear RNA of Homo sapiens (human), 123 nucleotides long. Lineage: Eukaryota; Metazoa; Chordata; Mammalia; Primates; Hominidae. The record is from RefSeq and is marked provisional.
CCGGAGCCAUUGUGGCUCCGGCCGAUUGCGCCGGCCCUCGGGCCCUCAGGGAGGCGAGGGUGUGAGGGUACAGAGUUCGAGGCCAACUUGGUCCACAUUGGUAGGAAAAAAAAAAUUUUUUUU